ACGGGAGGCAGCAGUGGGGCAUAUUGCACAAUGGGGGAAACCCUGAUGCAGCGACGCCGCGUGAGUGAUGGAGUAUUUCGGUAUGUAAAACUCUAUCAGCAGGGAAGAUAAUGACGGUACCUGACUAAGAAGCACCGGCUAAAUACGUGCCAGCAGCCGCGGUAAUACGUAUGGUGCAAGCGUUAUCCGGAUUUACUGGGUGUAAAGGGUGCGUAGGUGGCAUGGCAAGUCUGAAGUGAAAGCUCGGGGCUCAACCCCGGAACUGCUUUGGAAACUGUUAAGCUAGAGUGCAGGAGAGGAAAGUGGAAUUCCUAGUGUAGCGGUGAAAUGCGUAGAUAUUAGGAAGAACACCAGUGGCGAAGGCGGCUUUCUGGACUGUAACUGACACUGAGGCACGAAAGCGUGGGGAGCAAACAGGAUUAGAUACCCUGGUA
This 434-nucleotide ribosomal RNA is filed under the name uncultured Lachnospiraceae bacterium. RNAcentral's name for it is "bacterial SSU rRNA". It matches the Rfam family "Bacterial small subunit ribosomal RNA", at positions 341 to 792 of the family's 1533-position model. The record is from RNAcentral. Lineage: Bacteria; Bacillati; Bacillota; Clostridia; Lachnospirales; Lachnospiraceae.